AAAUAAGCCAGUGGGAGCUCUUCAUGUGGCUGAUCAAUAUGGUUGGCUUUCACUUGUAGGAAGACAAUGUUGGUGAAACAAUGGAAGAUGGAUUUCAAUAGAGGGCAUCUGAUUUUGUUAGAAAAAGCUGUCUUCCCUACUUGGCUGCAAGCUUAUUUGCAAUAUGGAUCAUAUUCUACCUUGGUAUCCUGGCAUGUCAUGGAGGAUCAAUAAGUGCCUGCUGGAUUGAUUUGAAUGCCAAUGUCACAGGUCCAGUCUGUGAACAGCAUGAGGGGGAAUCAAGCACCUGUGAUACAGUUUGAAUCAUGAUGCAGCAUGUACUUGCGACUGCACAGAGGAAAGGAAUGUGCAUACAGAUGAAAGAUUAUUGUAUCUGGAAUACUACAUGGCAAUGAGAAAAAAUGAAAUCUGGCCUUGUGUAGCAAUGUGGAUGGACCUUGAGGGCGUUAUG
Molecule: long non-coding RNA, 451 nt
Organism: Hyaena hyaena (striped hyena)
Lineage: Eukaryota; Metazoa; Chordata; Mammalia; Carnivora; Hyaenidae
Exons: 4
Source: RefSeq, a predicted model, not a curated record